AUGGCUGCAGUUGUAGAGUGUUCUGAAGCUCUCAGGUGGCUGAUAGGUUUUGUCUACUUUCUAUGACUGAAAGGAGCACUUACAAAGGGAUGCAAAAAUAAUCUAAGCAUUUGUUUAAAUACCUUACACAUAUACCUGACAAUAUUCAUAGCACACUUGUGUGCAAGGUCAGUACU
RNAcentral lists this long non-coding RNA (176 nucleotides) under Felis catus (domestic cat). Its description in RNAcentral is "lncRNA (ENSFCAG00000049021.1)". The record is from RNAcentral. Lineage: Eukaryota; Metazoa; Chordata; Mammalia; Carnivora; Felidae.